AGCGACGCCGCGUGAGGGAUGACGGCCUUCGGGUUGUAAACCUCUUUCAGCAGGGACGAAGCGAAAGUGACGGUACCUGCAGAAGAAGCACCGGCCAACUACGUGCCAGCAGCCGCGGUAAUACGUAGGGUGCGAGCGUUGUCCGGAAUUACUGGGCGUAAAGAGCUCGUAGGCGGUUUGUCGCGUCGUCUGUGAAAACCAGCAGCUCAACUGCUGGCUUGCAGGCGAUACGGGCAGACUUGAGUACUGCAGGGGAGACUGGAAUUCCUGGUGUAGCGGUGAAAUGCGCAGAUAUCAGGAGGAACACCGGUGGCGAAGGCGGGUCUCUGGGCAGUAACUGACGCUGAGGAGCGAAAGCGUGGGUAGCGAACAGGAUUAGAUACCCUGGUAGUCCACGCCGUAAACGGUGGGCGCUAGGUGUGGGUUUCCUUCCACGGGAUCCGUGCCGUAGCUAACGCAUUAAGCGCCCCGCCUGGGGAGUACGGCCGCAAGGCUAAAACUCAAAGGAAUUGACGGGGGCCCGCACAAGCGGCGGAGCAUGUGGAUUAAUUCGAUGCAACGCGAAGAACCUUACCUGGGUUUGACAUAUACCGGAAAGCCGUAGAGAUACGGCCCCCCUUGUGGUCG
RNAcentral lists this ribosomal RNA (627 nucleotides) under Rhodococcus sp. Se3Pt_1613. Its description in RNAcentral is "bacterial SSU rRNA". It matches the Rfam family "Bacterial small subunit ribosomal RNA", at positions 390 to 1029 of the family's 1533-position model. The record is from RNAcentral. Lineage: Bacteria; Bacillati; Actinomycetota; Actinomycetes; Mycobacteriales; Nocardiaceae.